AUUUAUUUCUUCACACCUGUUUUUAUUUCUUAUUUACCUCAAGAUUCUUCAGAAGGUUUUAAGAGUGGAUAUCCAGGCCCCAAAAGAUUGGGAAGUUUUGAAAGGAAGUUCAGGUCCACAUGGAGGCACAAUUGACAUAUGGAAUCAUCAUUUCUUGCCAGAUCUGCCCAGGAGGAAAAUGGUGGGAUGUAUUCCCAAGGCUUGUGGAUGAGUGGUUCUACCUGACAACGUGAAAAGACAUUACAUCUGUGCCAUGGGUCAAGAAGGAG
RNAcentral lists this long non-coding RNA (269 nucleotides) under Fukomys damarensis (Damara mole-rat). RNAcentral's name for it is "lncRNA (ENSFDAG00000026753.1)". Lineage: Eukaryota; Metazoa; Chordata; Mammalia; Rodentia; Bathyergidae. The record is from RNAcentral.